RNAcentral lists this ribosomal RNA (477 nucleotides) under uncultured bacterium. Its description in RNAcentral is "bacterial SSU rRNA". It matches the Rfam family "Bacterial small subunit ribosomal RNA", at positions 29 to 507 of the family's 1533-position model. The record is from RNAcentral.
AUGAACGCUAGCGGCAGGCUUAACACAUGCAAGUCGAGGGGUAUAGGUUUUCGGAUCUAGAGACCGGCGCACGGGUGCGUAACGCGUAUGCAAUCUACCUUUCACAGAGGGAUAGCCCAGAGAAAUUUGGAUUAAUACCUCAUAGUAUUAUAGAAUGGCAUCAUUUUAUAAUUAAAGUCACAACGGUGAAAGAUGAGCAUGCGUCCCAUUAGCUAGUUGGUAUGGUAACGGCAUACCAAGGCAACGAUGGGUAGGGGUCCUGAGAGGGAGAUCCCCCACACUGGUACUGAGACACGGACCAGACUCCUACGGGAGGCAGCAGUGAGGAAUAUUGGUCAAUGGGCGCAAGCCUGAACCAGCCAUGCCGCGUGCAGGAUGACGGUCCUAUGGAUUGUAAACUGCUUUUGCACAGGAAGAAACAACGCUACGUGUAGCGUCUUGACGGUACUGUGAGAAUAAGGAUCGGCUAACUCCGUG